UACGGAGGGGGCAAGCGUUAUUCGGAAUUAUUGGGCGUAAAGGGCGCGUAGGCGGCUAGAUGUGUCAAAGGUGAAAUCCCUCGGCUCAACUGAGGAACUGCCUUUGAAACUGUCUGGCUUGAGGCCGGGAGAGGGUAGCGGAAUUCCCAGUGUAGCGGUGAAAUGCGUAGAUAUUGGGAGGAACACCAGUGGCGAAGGCAGGUUACUACUAAUGGAUUGACGCUGAUGGACGAAAGCGUGGGUAGCGAACAGG
RNAcentral lists this ribosomal RNA (253 nucleotides) under uncultured bacterium. RNAcentral describes it as "partial 16S ribosomal RNA". It matches the Rfam family "Bacterial small subunit ribosomal RNA", at positions 524 to 776 of the family's 1533-position model. The record is from RNAcentral.